CCUACGGGAGGCAGCAGUGAGGAAUAUUGGUCAAUGGACGAGAGUCUGAACCAGCCAAGUAGCGUGAAGGAUGACUGCCCUAUGGGUUGUAAACUUCUUUUAUAUGGGAAUAAAAUGUUCCACGUGUGGGAUUUUGUAUGUACCAUAUGAAUAAGGAUCGUCUAACUCCGUGCCAGCCGCCGCGGUCAUACGGAGGAUCCGAGCGUUAUCCGGAUUUAUUGGGUUUAAAGGGAGCGUAGGUGGAUUGUUAAGUCAGUUGUGAAAGUUUGCGGCUCAACCGUAAAAUUGCAGUUGAAACUGGCAGUCUUGAGUAUAGUAGAGGUGGUCGGAAUUCGUGGUGUAGCGGUGAAAUGCUUAGAUAUCACGAAGAACUCCGAUUGCGAAGGCAGCUCACUGGACUGCAACUGACACUGAGGCUCGAAAGUGUGGGUAUCAAACAGGAUUAGAUACCCCAGUAGUC
Molecule: ribosomal RNA, 460 nt
Filed under: uncultured bacterium
Lineage: Bacteria
Description: partial 16S ribosomal RNA
Rfam family: Bacterial small subunit ribosomal RNA
Source: RNAcentral